Pelodiscus sinensis (Chinese soft-shelled turtle) is the source of this 3322-nucleotide non-coding RNA. NCBI's taxonomy places the organism in Eukaryota, Metazoa, Chordata, Testudines, Trionychidae. The record is from RefSeq and is a predicted model, not a curated record.
AAGCGGUGGACGCUCUGCGGAGGCGCAGGGGCGCUGUCUGCAGGGCGGGCGGCCCCGGGACCCCUUCUUCCCAUGGGGGGCCGCCUGCUGGAGCGGGCAGCCCCCGCGAGGCACGAGGACAAAGGCUCCUCCCGCCCCGUUCCAAGGAGGGAGCUCGUUAGGGUCCGUGGUAGCUGGUGGAGCAACUUUCCUGAGACUUCUGCAGACCUGCCCGCUGAGCUGCUGGAACCAGGGGACAGCUGGGACCCGGCCGCCUUCUUCCAUGAGACUCCGGGAGAGAGGCUAAUGCAAAUUACCCAACUCUGGUUAUGCAAAAAACAAGCCUGUUGAAGCUAUACUCUGAGAGAGGGUCUUUGUCUGCUGAUUACCUGUUCCUGAAGGCCAAGAUCAAAGACUCAAGCAGUAUAAAGAAACACAUGCUCUAUCCAGCCUAAAUUCUGAAUAUGAGACAGCUAUGAACCUGUGAGCAUGGGGAAAAGCCAGUUGUGGCUUUUGAAGGACUGAUAGCUACAAGAGCCCGAGGUUGGAGCUGGGGUGACCUCUGUAACUCCUAAGAACACCAAUCAAGGAGUGGUGCCCCAUGAUGCCAAGCACUGUACAGACAAGUCAUAAAGAGAUGAUGUUCCAGGGAGCGCACACUCUGCAUGCCAGACAGGACUUACCAGAUGGGUGAAAUAAACAAACUCGGUGAGGCUAGGCUAGGGUGGAUGACACAAAGAUAAAAUGAACAUAAAGUUUACCAGAAAAGCAGAAGUAACAGUUUACCAGUUACUUAACCAACGCUAGUCAGAAGCAUAUUAGUAGGCAUAACAGCAGAGGAAGAUUUUAAAGAAGUAUUUAGAGGACAGUGGCUUUAUGAACUAUGACAUGGACUUUUUCUCCAUGCAAAUAGGUGGCAGGGGAGAGCGUGACUGAGAGAAAAGCAAGUAGGGGGGUGAGUAAGGCUGCCGUGAAUGGCAGAACAAGGACUGGAAUGGAUGACUCCACAAACUAGUCGAUCUGCAUUAUUCCCUGGAGCCUACUGAAAGAACAGUUUAAAACAGAGAUUUUAAAAAGUAAAAUCUUCCAAUCAUUUAUUUCAGAAAAUGUCUGUUACUUAAAAACUAUACCAGGUUUUGUCAACUUAGUAAACAUAGAUAUACUGUGCUGCUCUCUACUUACCCAAACAGAGAACUGCUUGGCUAUUGGCCUGCGUUAGGUGAGUGCACUUCCGAAAUGAUCUGGGACGCAAGAGGAAUUGGGCUUCCAGAGUUAUAGCCUUGUCCCAGGUUUUGCAGUGGACUUGAGCAUACAGGCUGCACUUAUCCACUAGGCUAGUACAGCUUGCAUUGCUCUGCAACUGCACAGCUCUACAGGGUUGUGUGAAAGAACAUGGCCUUCUCCCCUCCAUACCUGCCUUAGGUAAACUGAGCACCUAAUGGCACUGGAGGGAUAGAGCUCUCUCUGCUGUCAUAGAAAUGUAAUGACUGAAACUGUCUCUGUGCUUUUUAUUGGCAGCACAAAAGAUGUGUCAGAGGGUCUUUGCAUUCCACCUUUGCUUUCACACGCACACACACAGCUAAGCUUUCCUGCCAGGGCCUCAUCUGUUCCCUCUUUCUGAAUGGCCACUUCAUCUCUUGUAUCCCAAAAGGGAUACAACAAACUAUGCCUGCCACAAUGAAUCAACUGAACUUCAAGAGCUCUGUGCAGGGCUCUAGCAGUUACUAACACAUGAAUUGGAAGAAACCUGCCAUUUUAUUGCACUACUCAUCUGGCUUCCUCAAAAAGUCUACUCUCUGUCUUUUCUCUACAUUGCUUUCAUUCUCUAGGUGCUUCCUUGCCAAUUAUUUAUAUUCUCUUCUCCCUUGGGAUUCAGGUGCUAGCUGUGAUAUCAAUAUUCUCCUUAAAAACUCCUGCAAUCCAAGUUUGUCUAACUGCCAGGUAACUUGCAGCCAGAGUAUAAGAUGGCUGACUCCCUUUGCUAUUCUGGCUCUCAGGGCAAGGGCAUCUGGAUUUAUAGAAUAAUGAUUUACACACUAGCCCCUGCUGCUUUCCUUUCCUUCUCCUAUCACAUCUUUCAAAACCCAAAAUUAUCGUAGAAAAUACAUUUUGUAUUUUUAAAAUUGAUUUCCCACUUAAAAAGCUGUUUAAAUAAUAUAUUAGAAUUUGAUAGAUGUUAACAUUUUUUAAAUCUUCACCUAAUCAAUAUAUUUAUGCACAUUAAAAUUUAAUUGCACUCCUUAUAUUAAUUUAUAAUCAUUUCAGUCAUUAUGAUCAUCAGCCAAGACCCUGCAACUGCUAUGAAAUGUCACUUAAUUUAUAUUUCAUAAUGUCCAAGUUACCUACUUCCAAGCAAGUAAAGAUGCCCCUGUCAAAUGCAAUACACUUUUUGAUGUCAUCAGCAUCAUUUGUUUAAAUCAUGAUGGACAGAUGAGACGGAUUUAAGUUUCUCAUCUGGAUCCUUCUUUCCAAAAGUGGACAAUUAUUGCAAUGCAAUUAGAGAUAAAAUCUCCAUGAUGGUAUUAACAAUGAGAAGUCCUGUGGCACCUUAUAGACUAGCAGAUUUAUUGGAGCAUAAGCUUUCAUGGGCAAAGACCCACUUCAUCAGAUGACAUGCAUGAGGGAGCAUACUACAAAUGCUAAGCCCAUAGUGGCUGGACCUAAAGCUAUAUAUUUUUGAAGCUGUUUACUUAGUUAAGGAUGGCAUAAAUUGGACCUAUCUUAAUGAUUGCCUUACUUUACAAAUAGUCUCACUAAAAUCAGGGAGACUACCUAAGGAGUAAGGUACAAUUCAUCUUGAGUAAGGUAGCAGAACCUGGCCCAUUAGUUUUAGGAAGAAAGAGAUAAAUACGUUUAUAUCAUCUUUCUUAUUUAUAAUUGUAAAUAGUUUGCCAAGUACUGGAUGACACAGUGCUGUAUCACAAGCAUUAUACUGCUAAUAAGAAUGGACAUUUUCCUUUAGCUCACGUGGCAAGACAGAACUUAUGCUAUUGGAGCAAAAGGGCUUUCUCUACUGCACCCAUGAAGUUCUGAGUGGCUGUGAAGUGCAGCACUGUGAUAGUCUCAGACUCUUGAGUGGUAUUAUAACAGAUUUGUUAUAAUACCUUGGUAGAACAAUGAGCUGCUUAGAUAUUUUCAUCUUUAUAUUUACUUAGCAGUUACACAGAAGAAACAUUAAUCAAUCCUGUGUACUUCAUGGAAUUAAUCUGAAGCCAAUUAUAGGUUAGGACAAUGUUUCUUAUUCAAGAGCAUAUUUAACUGAUUUUGUGUCCAUCCUCUUCCUCCUUCAUCUUGUCAUAAACUCUAUAGCAGUGGUUCCCAAACUUUUUGGCAUCACGGCCCC